GUGACCUCGGAUCGGUAGCUCAAGCC
This 26-nucleotide ribosomal RNA is filed under the name Schizothyrium emperorae. RNAcentral describes it as "partial 28S ribosomal RNA". Lineage: Eukaryota; Fungi; Ascomycota; Dothideomycetes; Mycosphaerellales; Schizothyriaceae. The record is from RNAcentral.